This 103-nucleotide microRNA precursor is filed under the name Caenorhabditis brenneri. RNAcentral's name for it is "pre miRNA CBN34055". It matches the Rfam family "mir-36 microRNA precursor family". The record is from RNAcentral. Lineage: Eukaryota; Metazoa; Nematoda; Chromadorea; Rhabditida; Rhabditidae.
GAUUGAGGACGGGACCGGACCUGUGCUGGUUUCUGUUUGCGGUGAUAUCUCGAAUCAAUGACUAUCAACGGACGAGAAUCCGGCACAGGUCUGCUCCUUCCUC